Molecule: ribosomal RNA, 460 nt
Filed under: uncultured bacterium
Lineage: Bacteria
Description: partial 16S ribosomal RNA
Rfam family: Bacterial small subunit ribosomal RNA
Source: RNAcentral
CCUACGGGGCGCAGCAGUGAGGAAUAUUGGUCAAUGGACGCAAGUCUGAACCAGCCAUGCCGCGUGCAGGAAGACGGCUCUAUGAGUUGUAAACUGCUUUUGUACGAGGGUAAACGCAGAUACGUGUAUCUGUCUGAAAGUAUCGUACGAAUAAGGAUCGGCUAACUCCGUGCCAGCAGCCGCGGUAAUACGGAGGAUUCAAGCGUUAUCCGGAUUUAUUGGGUUUAAAGGGUGCGUAGGCGGUCGGAUAAGUUAGAGGUGAAAUCCCGAGGCUCAACUUCGGAAUUGCCUCUGAUACUGUUCGGCGAGAGAGUAGUUGCGGUAGGCGGAAUGUAUGGUGUGGCGGUGAAAUGCUUAGAGAUCAUACAGAACACCGAUUGCGAAGGCAGCUUACCAAGCUACUUCUGACGUUGAGGCACGAAAGCGUGGGGAGCAAACAGGAUUAGAUACCCGAGUAGUC